This 96-nucleotide ribosomal RNA is filed under the name Chrysemys picta bellii (western painted turtle). Lineage: Eukaryota; Metazoa; Chordata; Testudines; Emydidae. The record is from RNAcentral.
GGCUGUGAUCUUAUCCCAUUUUGUAAACUAAGAAAAUUCAGAUCUAGUCAGUACUUGGAUGGUAGACCUUCAGGGGGAAAAAAGGUACUACAGGAA